UGAGGAACAGAGUGACACUCCCUCUCCUCCCGGCUGAAACUGAUGAACAAUGAAAUCAAUUAAGUGUAUCAGUAUUUGACCAAUAGAAUUCAGCGAGCCCAAACUGGCAAGUUAUGCCCAAUGGAAAGUACUGAAUUCACCUGCAGAAUUAGGUGCUUUGCCAAUUAGAAGCAGCUUAGAGCAAUCAGAAAAAUUACUUCAUAUGAUGAGAUAUAAAAGAAUGUAAUAUCUUCUAUUUCUGAAACUUUUCUUUGUUAAGUUGUGUAGAGCUAAAAUUAAGUUUCAAGCGCCAGGAGUUAAGAGUCUGGGUUGUUCUGUGGGAUCGUUAGUCAGGGAUGUGUCUAGAUCCUGCUAGAGUGUCUGAAGGUGGCAGGAAAAGACCCAGGGCUAGGAUUUGUUAUCCUAGGGUGUCCUCCAUAAUGGUUCCAUAAUGGUUACAUGUGGGAGCCCAAGAUUAGGUUAACAAAUUGUAACAGACCCCAGCCGCCUGUCAAUGUUCAGAAGAAAAAUGUGUGCUUAGUAACUGCUUUGCAAGCAGGAGCCUGUGCAUCCUCACUCCUGUCUCCUUGCCUUAAAAAGCAGAGACAAUGCUUUGCUUGCAUAGUUGAUGCUUUAGAUAGCACUCUGCUCAUUUCAAAGCAAGGACCCAGGCCCUCAGCUAUAAAAGCUGGGCUUGUGUGCUUUUAGAUAGUCUAUUAUCCCGAAAACAAGGACCUGGCUGGUCUCGUGGUCUGCUUUGUAAUUCACAAUCUAAAGAAUGUAUCUUAUUCCCCUCACCCCAUGACUUCCCUAAAGAUACACUAAGCCUUUGUACUCAUUGUGGAUUCUACAAUCUCUGUCUCCUCCCGUCUUUCCUCAAGUUCCUACUUACUAUCAAACAACAGUUAAUGACUUUUUCCUUUCGUUAUACACAGUAAAUAUAGGAGCAUUUGAGAGGCUUGUGGAGUUGGCUCCCUACUCCUUCUCUUUUUCUGGAAUUUUCCCACAGAGUCUUGAAUAAUCAUUCCGUGUCGGUACGACUUCUGCCAGCCAUAACCCACAGUUCCAGAUCGUUUUGGUUACUGAGACCCUCGAAUUCCCAUAUGAAUUAUAACAGCAGCUAAUCAGUUUUUGCAGAGGAGACCGCUGGGAUUGUGAUCGAGACCACGUAGAAUAUACGGAUCACUCUGGGGAGCACUGCCAUUCCAAGAGCACUGUCUUCUGAUCCAGGAAUGUACGUGGAGAGUCUGUCCAGGUGCCCUCACAUCCAGUGGCAUCCAUCCAGACACCAACACUGACACUGGCCAUGCUCAGAACUGCCUCAGCCCUGAAGACACAAGUGACAAAUAGAAGGGGGCCGCGCCCUGUUACAGCAGGUGCUCUCACUUUGUGGGUCCUUAUGUAACUGCGCAGUGUUAAUCAGGAUCUCCCGUUCUACAUUGUGUGGCGCUGCUGCAGUGUCUCCUAGUUAUUUGUUUCUGAGAAUUACGGCCUGCUGCUAGAGUGUUUGAUCAGGAUAAAUGAUUUGUUUCUAUAAGAUGCCACGUACAGUCACAAUCUCAGUGAGAAAUGGGCUGUCACCUCUUCAUCUGCAACUCAGUGCUCGACAGGACAUCGGGGCAAAGCCAGUCCGUAAUUUGUUUGUGAUGCAACUGUCCACGUGGGUCAAAUCAUGGUGCCCCUCUAAAACCUCCAAAAAAAAUCAAAGUUGAUUCUCUAUUUUGCAACUUGCCAUCUCUAUAUAAGUGCAGAAGAGUUAACAUCGUGAAAGAUCAGAGCCCGGAGAAUAGGCUCUCCUGGAUAUUUCAGGCUAAAGGCAACUUUCUUUUACAAAAGGAUCUGAGAAGCAGGAGCAAGGAACGCAGGGAGAGAUCCAGUAAGACAUCUGACUGUGUUAAGAGACGACAGUCAUAGCCACACAGGGAGCGAGGACACUUGCAGCAAAGUAAAACGACUUCACAACUAUUGCAUCAGAGCUGCCGGUGUGAGAGAGCCUAAGCCUGUCUCAGAGUGCAGGGGACAAGUGGAAAGGAAUGGCAAAAUUUCCACUGAAAAUUGAAAUUUUGUUAAAUAGCCUGCUACUGUUGCUUGUAUCACUUGAAUGAAUGCAGGCAUAUUGCUAUGGGCAUUUAUAUGUUCACUCAAACCCACCAGCCACUCUUGCCCCCAUCGGGGAUGGGCUUUCUCAAGCCCAGUGCACCUGCUGCUUGGGUGGGCCAUGCUGCGGGUCCUCGCCUGGGGCCGGGCUGCUGCAGGGCACUGAGUCCCCGAGGCACGGCCUGCGAGACACGACAGGAACACCUCUGCUCUUGA
Molecule: long non-coding RNA, 2292 nt
Organism: Camelus dromedarius (Arabian camel)
Lineage: Eukaryota; Metazoa; Chordata; Mammalia; Artiodactyla; Camelidae
Exons: 6
Source: RefSeq, a predicted model, not a curated record